CGGGAGCGGCGGGAAGAGCCCUCCGGGCGGAAACAGAGACCCUUGACUUUGGAUUUGUCUCUUGCGGCGGUGGGAAAGCUUCCGCUAGCUCCGGGAUGAAGCGACACUAAUCCUGCGUCCCCAGACAGCAUCCCUUUCCUAGUCAAGUUGUUAUUCAGGUCUCUGUAUGGGGAACAGCCACAGAUCACAAGGGUGGAAUGAAGAUGGCUAAUUGGGAGUGUGGACUGAAAAACCUAAAAGUUGCUGAGGACUUAAGCCUGGAGACAGCCUCUCACGUAACUCUGAGGGAUUUCUCCAAAGAGAGGGCCCACGACGCUCCCCUGCUUCCAAAGGCUUGAAGGAGGAAAACAAGGAACAUAGGAGACGGUCUGUGAAGAAAAGCAGAUGAACAAAGCACUUGCAGUUCAGAUGAGAAGCCUCCAACGUGAGUGAGCACGUCUGCAGCCUGAAAUCCCACAGCUGGGCGGUGAGCUGCCGGAGCUGCUACUGAGACCUCACAUCCUGCCUGCACCGCACCAAGAGCAAGUGCUGGAACUUCGCAGAAAGGUCGCGGGGGGGGGGGAUUUACCGCGCGGAGGUAGAGAAGAAGCUCCCCAACGUACGUGGAAAUAUCAGCCUCACGGUCACUGGAGUGACCUCCUGCAGGAGGAGACGGGAGAGGCGACCAGAAAGAACAAGCUCCUUCCCUCCAGCAGAAACAUCUCACCUCUUCUGAGAAGGAAGCUGGAGAAGAGUGGGCGCCAGCUCUUCCCACUGGGGGGAAGCCCAGCUAGUGAGAAGCGGGGGGGACGCGGACACCAGUCGUGGAGGCAGAGGCCCGGGACCGUGGGUCAGCAGGUCCCCAGGGCAGGAGGCCGCUGAGGCUCCAGGACUGAGGGACCCGGCUCACUUGUGGGGGUGAUGCCACAUUCGCAGCAGCAGCCCCGCGGGCCCAGAGACCUUUACCCGUUUCCUCUCCUAAAAGCAAU
Long non-coding RNA from Mesoplodon densirostris (Blainville's beaked whale), 968 nucleotides. RefSeq lists it as uncharacterized. The record is from RefSeq and is a predicted model, not a curated record. NCBI's taxonomy places the organism in Eukaryota, Metazoa, Chordata, Mammalia, Artiodactyla, Ziphiidae. The transcript has 3 exons.